RNAcentral lists this ribosomal RNA (253 nucleotides) under uncultured bacterium. RNAcentral describes it as "partial 16S ribosomal RNA". It matches the Rfam family "Bacterial small subunit ribosomal RNA", at positions 524 to 776 of the family's 1533-position model. The record is from RNAcentral.
UACGUAGGUGACAAGCGUUGUCCGGAUUUACUGGGCGUAAAGAGCGCGCAGGCGGUCGAUCAAGUCGAGUGUGAAAGCCCCCGGCUCAACUGGGGAGGGUCAUUCGAUACUGAUCGACUCGAAGGCAGGAGAGGGUAGUGGAAUUCCCGGUGUAGUGGUGAAAUGCGUAGUUAUCGGGAGGAACACCAGUGGCGAAGGCGACUACCUGGCCUGUUCUUGACGCUGAGGCGCGAAAGCUAGGGGAGCAAACGGG